AUAACGGUCCUAAGGUAGCGAAAUUCCUUGUCGGGUAAGUUCCGACCCGCACGAAUGGUGUAACGAUCUGGGCACUGUCUCAACUACCCACCCGGCGAAAUUGUAGUACCGGUGAAGAUGCCGGUUACCUGCGGCAAGACGGAAAGACCCCAUGGAGCUUUACUGUAGCCUGAUAUUGGGUUUCGGAAAUCUAUGUACAGGAUAGGCGGGAGACUAGGAAACAUGAGCGUCAGCUUGUGUGGAGUCGAUGUUGGGAUACCGCCCUUAGGUUUCUGGAAUUCUAACCUGCGGCCGUGAAUCCGGUCGGGGGACAUUGUCAGGUGGGCAGUUUGACUGGGGCGGUCGCCUCCUAAAAGGUAACGGAGGCGCCCAAAGGUUCCCUCAGAAUGGUUGGAAAUCAUUCGCAGAGUGUAAAGGCAUAAGGGAGCUUGACUGCGAGACCUACAAGUCGAGCAGGGACGAAAGUCGGGCUUAGUGAUCCGGUGGUUCCGCAUGGAAGGGCCAUCGCUCAACGGAUAAAAGCUACCCUGGGGAUAACAGGCUUAUCUCCCCCAAGAGUCCACAUCGACGGGGAGGUUUGGCACCUCGAUGUCGGCUCAUCGCAUCCUGGGGCUGUAGUAGGUCCCAAGGGUUGGGCUGUUCGCCCAUUAAAGCGGUACGCGAGCUGGGUUCAGAACGUCGUGAGACAGUUCGGUCCCUAUCCGUCGCGGGCGCAGGAAAUUUGAGAGGAUCUGUCCUUAGUACGAGAGGACCGGGAUGGACAUACCGCUGGUGUACCAGUUGUUCUGCCAAGGGCAUCGCUGGGUAGCUAUGUAUGGAUGAGAUAAACGCUGAAAGCAUCUAAGUGCGAAACUCACCUCGAGAUAAGAUUUCCCACUCCUUUAUGGAGUUAAGACCCCUGAGAGAUGAUCAGGUAGAUAGGAUGGAAGUGGAAGUGCGGCGACGCAUGGAGCGGACCAUUACUAAUCGGUCGAGGACUUAACCAA
This 986-nucleotide ribosomal RNA is filed under the name human gut metagenome. RNAcentral's name for it is "bacterial LSU rRNA". It matches the Rfam family "Bacterial large subunit ribosomal RNA", at positions 1942 to 2925 of the family's 2925-position model. The record is from RNAcentral.